Molecule: long non-coding RNA, 627 nt
Filed under: Carica papaya (papaya)
Lineage: Eukaryota; Viridiplantae; Streptophyta; Magnoliopsida; Brassicales; Caricaceae
Description: long non-coding RNA (CPAP_LNC008671)
Source: RNAcentral
ACUGCUGAAGACAAACCACCGUCGCUGCUCCUCCCAUGAACCCUACUAUCGUUGCAUGUGAUAGAAAAUCCACGAUGAACCCUAGCCUGCAACAUCCCAGUUAUUAAUUUUCUUCUUAACUUUUUUUACUUCAGUAAAAAAAUUAUAUCAACCCUUUUUUUUUUUUUUUAAUCUUGAUUUACCCUUAUCUCACAGGGCUGCUUGUUCAAAAUGGAUCUCUGUAGAUUCGCAUGUUCACUAUCUUCUCCGACAUGCAGUGUUAUUUUGUCUGUGUGUGUGUGUGUGUAAGGAAGAAUUGUUGUCAUACACGCCACCUUUUGAAAUUCUAUAAGCUAUAUAAUAUACUCAUCUAAUCAAACAGCAAACAGACAAGAGCUUCCAGUUGGAGAGAAGGAAAAAACCAAGAAAGCUUUUUGGUACUCAUGUUUUAUUAAUUUAUAAUUCAUUAUACGACACGACUGUUUCACUUAAAACGACAUGCCACUCCUUUAAAUUUAAUCCUUUUUUUUUUUUUUUUACCUUAACAGUCCAAGCGAAGCUUGCAGAACUCCAGCGAAGAAGGUGGCAGUGAAAGCAAGAUGAAGAUAAAGCUUUGGAUUCUCACUAGCAUUCACCUCUUUCCCUAGC